CAGGCGCGAAACCUUCACACUGUGCGAAAGCGCGAUGAGGGGAUCCCAAGUGCUUGCUCUUAGGAGUAAGCUGUUUUCCUGUUUAAAUCGCAGGAAGAGGAAGGGCUGGGUAAGACGGGUGCCAGCCGCCGCGGUAAUACCUGCAGCUCAAGUGGUGACCGCUAUUAUUGGGCCUAAAACGUCCGUAGCCGGCUGAGUAAAUGCCUGGGUAAAUCGUGCCGCUUAACGGUACGAAUUCCGGGUAGACUGCUUAGCUUGAGACCGGGAGAAGCUAGAGGUACUCCUGGGGUAGAGGUGAAAUUCUGUAAUCCUGGGGGGACCACCAGUGGCGAAAGCGUCUAGCUAGAACGGGUCUGACGGUGAGGGACGAAACCCUGGGGCGCGAACCGGAUUAGAUACCCGGGUAGUCCAGGGCGCAAACGCUGCUUGCUUGAUGUUAGCUGGGCUCCGAGCUCAGCUAGUGUCGGAGAGAAGUUGUUAAGCAAGCUGCCUG
Molecule: ribosomal RNA, 493 nt
Filed under: uncultured archaeon
Lineage: Archaea
Description: bacterial SSU rRNA
Rfam family: Archaeal small subunit ribosomal RNA
Source: RNAcentral